RNAcentral lists this ribosomal RNA (829 nucleotides) under uncultured bacterium. RNAcentral's name for it is "bacterial SSU rRNA". It matches the Rfam family "Bacterial small subunit ribosomal RNA", at positions 1 to 820 of the family's 1533-position model. The record is from RNAcentral.
CCCUUAGAGUUUGAUCCUGGCUCAGAAUCAACGCUGGCGGCGUGCCUCAGACAUGCAAGUCGAACGCGAAAGGCCCCUUCGGGGGCCGAGUAGAGUGGCGCACGGGUGAGUAACACGUGGGUAAUCUACCUCUGGGUGGGGAAUAACAGCCGGAAACGGCUGCUAAUACCGCAUAAUGCAGCGGCACCACAUGGUGACAGUUGUUAAAGCGGGGGAUCGUAAGACCUCGCGCCUAGAGAUGAGCCCGCGGCGGAUUAGCUAGUUGGCAGGGUAACGGCCUACCAAGGCGACGAUCCGUAGCCGGCCUGAGAGGGCGGACGGCCACACUGGCACUGACAUACGGGCCAGACUCCUACGGGAGGCAGCAGUCGGGAAUUUUGGGCAAUGGGCGAAAGCCUGACCCAGCAACGCCGCGUGAAGGAUGAAGCUUCUCGGAGUGUAAACUUCAUAAGAAUGGGACGAAUAAGGGAGGGGUUAACACCCCCUUUGAUGACGGUACCAUUUGUAAGCUCCGGCUAACUCCGUGCCAGCAGCCGCGGUAAUACGGGGGGAGCAAGCGUUGUUCGGAUUUACUGGGCGUAAAGGGCGCGUAGGCGGCGUAACAAGUCACUUGUGAAAUCUCCGGGCUUAACCCGGAGCGGCCAAGUGAUACUGUUGUGCUAGAGUGCGGAAGGGGCUACUGGAAUUCUCGGUGUAGCGGUGAAAUGCGUAGAUAUCGAGAGGAACACCUGCGGCGAAGCGGGUAGCUGGGCCGACACUGACGCUGAGCGCGAAGCAGGGAGCGACGGGAUAGAUACCCCGGUAGUCUGGCCUAACGAUGGAUACUUGG